RNAcentral lists this ribosomal RNA (530 nucleotides) under uncultured bacterium. RNAcentral's name for it is "bacterial SSU rRNA". It matches the Rfam family "Bacterial small subunit ribosomal RNA", at positions 964 to 1503 of the family's 1533-position model. The record is from RNAcentral.
AGGAACCUUACCCGGGCUCAAACGUCGGAGGACGUGCGGAGAAAUCCGCAUUUCCCUCGGGACUUCCGACGAGGUGCUGCAUGGUUGUCGUCAGCUCGUGCCGUGAGGUGUCGGCUUAAGUGCCAUAACGAGCGCAACCCCCAUCUACAGUUGCUAACAGGUGAAGCUGAGGACUCUGUGGAGACUGCCGGCGCAAGCUGAGAGGAAGGCGGGGAUGACGUCAAAUCAGCACGGCCCUUACGUCCGGGGCGACACACGUGUUACAAUGGCAGGUACAGCGGGAAGCCACUUGGCGACAAGGAGCGGAACCCGAAAACCUGUCUCAGUUCGGAUUGGAGUCUGCAACCCGACUCCAUGAAGCUGGAUUCGCUAGUAAUCGCGCAUCAGCCACGGCGCGGUGAAUACGUUCCCGGGCCUUGUACACACCGCCCGUCAAGCCAUGGAAGCCGGGAGUGCCUGAAGUGCGUGAGCGCAAGCAGCGCCCUAGGGUAAAACCGGUGACUGGGGCUAAGUCGUAACAAGGUAGCCGU